Molecule: long non-coding RNA, 3376 nt
Organism: Conger conger (European conger)
Lineage: Eukaryota; Metazoa; Chordata; Actinopteri; Anguilliformes; Congridae
Exons: 3
Source: RefSeq, a predicted model, not a curated record
UUUGGAUAAAAUGAAUGCAGUCCAUUUAACUUUCAGGUAAUUGACCUUGUGAAAAUCCAUGUAUUGAAUAUAUUUUUUCCUUUAGCUUUUGUACUUAUGUAUUGCAAGCCAUGCUGGCAUCGUAUAAAAGCACUAACAUGAGGUGAGAUGUAUGUUUUCCCUCAGCCUUUUCCUCAGGAAGAUUACACUCAAGUCUGUCUGGGCACCGGACUGGAUGAGAUCAGGUGACAGUGGGCGCAGCGGUGCAUGAUGUCUAAUUUACCUACACUAAUGACCUGUCCUUGGCACUAUCCCCUUCCAAACAAGCGGCUCGAACAGAUUUAUUUUACACACCACUGCCUCCGGGAAAGGACCCUUUCAUCUGUCUCCCAGCCCCUCUUUCUCUCUCUCUCUCUCUCUCUGUGUCUCUGAGAACGAAAACAGUGUGAAGCUGCUUUUGUCAUUGUUAUUUUUGUUUUUUCCGUGCCAUCGAUCGGGUAAACGGUUUGUUUGCUGUGCCACAGCAUUCACUGAGUCAGCGUGUUCCCGACCGAUCGGCGCGUUCCCUGUCACCCUUCUGCUCCAGUGGACUAGUGCUGGGAGCCGCAACCUGCAUAUUAACACCAGCAUCUUCGCCCGCUGUCAUUUCAGUUCUCAUACGGUACAUGCUACGCGUCACCACGCCGCACUCAGAAACCUCCACUGGGGACUAAGCGUUCAGUAAACAUUCUGUGAUUAAGAGUAGAGGACCCCGGAUCUGAAGCUAGUCUCGGGGUAAUAUCCAUCCAUCCAUUAUCUUAACCCGCUUAUCCUGAACAGGGUCGCAGAGGGGCUGGAGCCUAUCCCAGCAUACAUUGGGUGAAAGGUAGGAAUACACCCUGGACAGGUUGCCAGUCCAUCGCAGGGCACACACAGCAUUCACUCACACACUCAUACCCACGGGCAAUUCCGUGCCGCCCUUAGUCUCGGGGUAAUAUGCACCCUCAAAAUGUCUGGAGCUCUUCAUCUGGGGGUUUUGGGAGGAUCCCCUCGUCUUCCUCCUCUGAAAAGGGGUUGUUUUUCCCUCCCUAGCGUGGACAUUUUGGCUUCCUCCCACCGAGGGUUUUGUUUGUUUAGUCUCAUUAGUACUCCCACUCAAUGGCACAAUUCAUUCCUGCCAAACUCCUUUUGUUUUCAUUGUGUUGAGAUGCUUCCCCGUUCUCAUGUCUAGCUGUUAUGCUUAAUGCACAUUGGUCGAUUCUCGUGCGAUGUAUUGUACGGUGUGUUGCCUUGGUUGUGUCUCUGUCAUGUCAUGUGAGAUGCAUGUUUAAUGUAUGCCUUUGUCUCAGGAGGUAAGAGCAGUCAUCUGGCAGUCGAAGGGUUGCAAGUUCGAUCCCGCCUUGGGUGGGUCGAAGUGUCCCUGAGCAAGACACCUAACUCCCCAAAUGCUCCAGACGAGCUGGUCGGUCCCUUGUAUUGCAGACAAUUGCUGUUGGGGUUGGAAGAUUGGAGGACCUCAAUCCAAACAGAAAUGUGACCCCUGAAAUGUAUCAGCACCUCAUCUAUUGAGGGAUGAUUUGCUCUCUUAAGCCACAGUAUUUCAGGAGUAGCUGUGCAUGACGUGAAUAUUGACGCCCAAAACUCAGCAUUAAAUGAUGCCCACUGGGGGGAUGUGUGCCAGCCACAGGGGCAACUGAUAAUUUAACAGCAAGAGGCCGAUUACUUUCAGCCUCUCACCUUAAGAGAACUGUCCCAUGCCUCCGCCUCUGGGUUGAGUCAGCGAAUUGUCGGCGCACAACAAACAGACAUCCCAGUCCCUGGAGCCUGUGUUGGUUGAGCGCAAGAAAUUUCAUCUGUCUCUGCUGCUUUCUCACGACAGAAAUAAUGACUGAUCUCGAUUUUGCAGAGCGACAUCAAUUAGCAGCACGAAGCCUCUUGAAGAGAUGGAAUCAUUCUGCAGAUUACACGUUUUGGACCUUGUCUUAUCACUGUGUCAAACCAUUGUGAUAUCCUCAGCUAUGGUUUGGAACAAAGUUUAUGGAUUUCGCAUGAAAUACUUGCUUAGGUGAUUGGCACAGUCACUUCUAUGAAGCCUGCUUUAAAUUCUGGUUUAAAAACAUUUAAGAAAAUCCUGUGCAUACGUGCCUGAACUAAAGUCUCUAAUUCAACCGCAAUGUUAUUUAUGAAGUGAAAUGACUCCAGGGUGGAUUACACCAGGCAAUCAUGGGCAGGGAGCGGUGGAGGGACCUAAGAGACAAACAGAAUAUUCUGUUCUGCGAACCGUCAGUCGUGUGAACUGUGGUGUGAAGUAUAUGUCGUUAGUCGAUGGUUUGAUUGAGCAGGAGGUAUGACUGAUUGUGGAUUAAUAUGCGUGUGUUCUGUGACGCGACGUGAGCCAGUCUCCAUCCACUUCCUGCAGCUCUUUUAAAUUCGUGGAAGUGGAGUGGAGUGCUAGCUUUGCUCCCUCCUGCAAUUUCAGUGAAAGGGAAUCGCACGGUUGCACAAAGGGCCCUGAGAUUUAGCUGGACCCCUGCCAUGGACGUUUUCUAAAUCAGAUAUACCCUCCUUCUCGCUCACUGGAGCUGUUAGCAAGCUGGUUGAGCCGACGCUGCUAAAUUUAUUUUCCAUUACCGAACGUCAGAGCUUCCUCUGCAGUCUCACGCGGCCUGCGUCUGUCUGUGCGCCGUGAUCAGCGAUGGCGGCGUGCUGCUCCUUCGCCCGGAGCUGCUCGCCGGGAGAUGGGCCACGCGUGACCUCAGAGGACUGAGCUAGCGCGGGUCAUCGGGGUAGGAGCUGGACCGGAGCGACCAGCGCUGAGGAAGCCAGUCUGACUACAGCUCAUCGGUCAGAGCUGAAAACGAUGCGCGCAGACCGCGGGACACCCAGGCAAAACCGCCUCGCCCGCGUCUGUCGUCCAUUUUGUGGAUUUGUCUCCCUCCCCCCGUCGAGAGACCUCUUAAGUGGGUGUCAUUGAGAAGCUGUGUGAAGUCCAAAUUGGUUUUCGGUUGGGCGAAACAAGGAUUUUUUUUACCAGAAUGCCGCGGCCUCUGGUCUCCUGCGGGGACGCCGCCCGCCUCUCUCCCUCCUCUCCCUCCUCUUCCUCUCCCUGAGAUCUCGUGUGGGCUACACGGCCCUCCAGAACACUCGACGGCAGGCGGGAGAUUGCACUCAAUCUCUGGCUUCGGCCAUUUUUACAGUGAAGGCUCGGCUCUGCUGUUUCAGGAGAGAGAGCAGAAUUGAGUAGAUUGUCUCCUAUAUACCCAAACCCAUGAGUGUCAUUUCCAUUAAUGCAAUCAAUGUCUAGUACUCAUGCAGAAAUAAUGUGUCCUUUUAAGUAACGUGCUUUCAUGUCUUUAAGAUGUUUUUUGAAGAAAAUGGCAGGAGUUAUUUCUUUAUUCUCUCUCUCUCUCUCUCUCUC